Molecule: ribosomal RNA, 497 nt
Filed under: uncultured bacterium
Lineage: Bacteria
Description: partial 16S ribosomal RNA
Rfam family: Bacterial small subunit ribosomal RNA
Source: RNAcentral
GAUGAACGCUGGCGGCGUGCCUAAUACAUGCAAGUCGAGCGAACAGACGAGGAGCUUGCUCCUCUGACGUUAGCGGCGGACGGGUGGGUAACACGUGGAUAACCUACCUAUAAGACUGGGAUAACUUCGGGAAACCGGAGCUAAUACCGGAUAAUAUAUUGAACCGCAUGGUUCAAUAGUGAAAGACGGUUUUGCUGUCACUUAUAGAUGGAUCCGCGCCGCAUUAGCUAGUUGGUAAGGUAACGGCUUACCAAGGCAACGAUGCGUAGCCGACCUGAGAGGGUGAUCGGCCACACUGGAACUGAGACACGGUCCAGACUCCUACGGGAGGCAGCAGUAGGGAAUCUUCCGCAAUGGGCGAAAGCCUGACGGAGCAACGCCGCGUGAAUGAUGAAGGUCUUCGGAUCGUAAAACUCUGUUAUUAGGGAAGAACAAAUGUGUAAGUAACUAUGCACGUCUUGACGGUACCUAAUCAGAAAGCCACGGCUAACUACGUG